RNAcentral lists this ribosomal RNA (830 nucleotides) under Cercaria cristatella. RNAcentral describes it as "partial large subunit ribosomal RNA". It matches the Rfam family "Eukaryotic large subunit ribosomal RNA", at positions 122 to 610 of the family's 3401-position model. Lineage: Eukaryota; Metazoa; Platyhelminthes; Trematoda. The record is from RNAcentral.
CUGUGGUCAGUUGAUCAUUAGGCAAUGUGGUGUUACGGUUGUUCCGCAAAGGUACUGCUCCACCCUAAGUCCAUCAAUGAGUACGGCGUACGGACAUGGCCCACAGAGGGUGAAAGGCCCGUGGGGGUGGAGUUUCAAGCAGGCCAGUACCUUUCUGGAUAGACCUUGGAGUCGGGUUGUUUGUGAAUGCAGCCCAAAGUGGGUGGUAAACUCCAUCCAAGGCUAAAUACAAGCACGAGUCCGAUAGCGAACAAGUACCGUGAGGGAAAGUUGAAAAGUACUUUGAAGAGAGAGUAAACAGUGCGUGAAACCGAUCAGAGGUAAACGGGUGGAGUUGAACUGCAAGCUCUGAGGAUUCAGCUGGUGAGUGUGGUUUGAGCUUGGUUAAAUCGGUUGGGCUCUAGAGUCUGCGUAGUAGCAGGCCCUUGCCUUUCGGGGUGAGGGUGCGCGGUGCACUUAUCAAGUGUUGUGCGCUCUAGACGUUCAUCGAGCCGACUCGCCAGUGCACUUUCUCAGAGUAGUCACCACGACCGGCACCGCUGUCUGACUGUUAUGGUUAAACCGUUCUUGCAUCGUCCCUGUGGCUUUGCUCGUUCGGGAUGGCAGGUAGAUCGUUGACUUGCUUGUGGCUUGCUGCAGGCAUUGUCUUCGACUGUAAUCAGCUGACCUUAUCAGUUCUGUGCAGUGUGUCGGAGACGGCGGCUUUUGUGUGUGCGUGCGUGCCUGUCUGGCUGACCUAUCCGGGUUUGGUUGUUAUGCUGCCUGUUCAUGCAGGCCUAAUGAUGGCUCGGAUUUGUUCAGUUGGCGGUUGCGUGCGUGACACGAUUCAA